UCUUUAAGUGCACUGGAGCAGUGGAGAGCUCACCACCUCCAGAGGUAAUCGGUUCCAUUGUUGUGCUGCUCUAACAGUUAAGAUUUUUUUUCUGGGAUAUCCAGUCUAAAUCCGGCUUCCUGUAGCUUGAGUCCAUUAUUACAUUACAGAAUAAGAACACUCUAUGUAAAUCCAAGAACAUUAUAUGUCAAUCUACUGUAAGAGUACUUCAUAAUCACUGAAAAAAUAAUGUAAUUCAAUUUAGGAAAUUCAUUCAUAUAGGGCAAAUAGAAAAUAAAGAAUUCACUCAUUUAGAUUAAUGCAUGAGUUGUCUCUAUUGCCAUUAUAGCUUACUUCCCAAUCAUAUGGGAGGAAAAACACUUUCAAAAACUGGUUGUUUAGGCAGAAGUGUAUCUGUUUAUGCUUAGUGAUUCUGUUAAAAUAGUACAACGGCAACAGAAUUGCAUAUUAUUUGUGGCUUGACAUGUUUGCCUAUACAUUAGGAAAAACCUUGAGAACUUUAAUACAGGCCACUUGUUUCUAAUUUGGCUUCACAUAAUGAAAUUAGCCCUGAAAUGAUAUUAAAAAGGAACAAAUAAACACAAGUGCAACUGUUCCCCCAUCCUGUUCGCUAUAAAACACAGAACAAUCCAUGUACACAAACACACGGGAACACCGAGAAAAAAACCUAUCUUUUAGCUAUUGAGAUGAAAAGCAACGCUUCUGUUUUUCUAAGGCACUAUUUUGACCUCAAGUAGAUAAAGAACAUUAAACAACAAACACUCUGCAAAGAGUUACUGCGUCCUUCCCCCACAUCAGCUCUGUUUACAUUAGGAAAUCUACCCAGGGACUGGCGGAGGGAAGGGAAAGGCGGGAAGGCUGCCUUUCAUCGGCAGCGCUCAGUUCCACUGGCUCCAGUUAAAGCUGGCCCCUGUUUCUCGAUAUGUAUGCAAAACCUCAUCUCAUUCCUUCAGUUCUGGAGCCAGGAUUUGUGGGGCCACUGAGCAAGAUGCCCUCUCUUCUUCUUCUGGACCAAUAAAUAAUUUGUGGCAUGGGCUUUGCAGCUACAGAAAUGGCGGCAGAGCCACAUGGAAGGCUCCGACCACAUAUUUCCCAUCCCUGAGGUACACCAAGAAGAACACAUAUGACCACAGAACCCAUUUAUAUAGUGCUGAACCAUGUAUUGAAUCUGAAUGAAACUAUUGUGUCUGGCCUCUUGCUUUCUUGGAUUCACUCUCAGAACAGUGCAGAAGUAUGGGAUUGACUAAAUUGGAGUAAGACAAAAUGCAGUAACACACUAUUGAAGUGUAUGUUAAAAAAAAACAGCUCCAUAACCAUGACACAGUUAAGCUGUGUUUGGGGGUCAGUGUGACCUAAGUUGUAACCACAAUCACUCAAUAACAGAGGUAGAAAUAUGGAAAGCUUUAGAAAGAAUACAAUAGAUAUUCAUCUCCCAAUAUGGGGGUGGGGGAGCAUUUAUGCACAUUAGGAUAUUUCUUCUUAAACACACUUUAGAAAUAUGUCUUUUUUUAAAAAAAACCAAUACUUUUCUAUUUUCACUCCUCCUUUGUGAGGAGGUUUUAAUGUUAUUCUAAGUGGUAAAAGCUUAGCCUGUUGGGUGAGGAGAACAAAAGGAAUGUGGUUUCCUGAAACAUUUCCAGAAACGAUAUGGGAAAAUAACUCUUGAAAGAGAUGUAGUGCUGGAAACACUUCCUGUUGGAGCAGCAUGUCCACAGCAAAACUUGUUGGGCCAAAUGUAAUAACAGCUCUGCUAUCAUUAUAAAAAUAGUGAGGAGAAGUCAUUCAUGCAACAAAGC
This 1796-nucleotide long non-coding RNA is filed under the name Pogona vitticeps (central bearded dragon). RNAcentral describes it as "lncRNA (ENSPVIG00000015167.1)". Lineage: Eukaryota; Metazoa; Chordata; Lepidosauria; Squamata; Agamidae. The record is from RNAcentral.